Molecule: long non-coding RNA, 777 nt
Filed under: Homo sapiens (human)
Lineage: Eukaryota; Metazoa; Chordata; Mammalia; Primates; Hominidae
Description: HSALNT0344328
Source: RNAcentral
AUCAUGGGGGCAGAUACCCUCAUGCUGUUCUCAUGAUACUGAGUGAGUUCUCACGAGAUCUGAUGGUUUUAUAAGGCGCUUUCCCCUCAUUCGCUCUGCAUUUCUUGCUGCCACCACGUGAAGAAGGAUAUGUUUGCUUCCCCUUCCGUCAUGAUCUACUGCUGGGUUAGGGUCUCCCUGACCUAGCUGGUCUCAGCAAGUGGCGUCCAUCGUGGGGACUCAAAUCCAGGUCGAAGGGUUGCCAGAACAAUGGUUGGAGUGGAAAACUAGCUGGAGGACACUCGAGUACUCUUAAAGCAAUCCCUGUGGCCAAAAUCAACAGCCGAUUUGGAUACCAUCAAGACACCUGAAACCUUAUCAUGAGCCAGAUGCAGAGGAAGAGAUUCCAGGAGGAUCCCGAGGACCCCCGGUUGCAGCCAUGUCAAGACUGACGCUGCGGAGGACCCCAACUGUCACGAGCAACACCCAUCGAACACAGCCACCCACCUGGGGACAGAACAGGAAGCUGUCACAGAUGGCGGAAGAAAACCUGAGGAAAGCGGGACAACCAGUCACAAUGAAUAAUUUAAUGAUAGCUCUGAUAGCGGUUAUCACCACCGCCUCUGCAGAUGUGGAUCCUGACUCCUGCAAGAAGUAGCUCACCGUGACAAAGCUGCCUUUGCUUUUAUCGAUUUGCAAAUCAGAGAAGGGGGACAUAUUGGGAGCAGGCCCCCCAAAAUCUGGCCAUAAACUGGCCCCAAAACUGGACUGGCCAUAAACUGGCCCCAAAACUGGACU